UCUCUUGUAUAGUCAGUCUUAACUCGUAAUCUUUUUGAUUCGAGUCAGUCAGUCUGAGAGGUAUUUUACAGUAUCAAUGUCCUAAAACCAACUGGUUUGGGAGUCGUUGGCCUAAAGCUCACUACAAGAGUCAAUUAGAAAGCUUAAGGGGUUAGGACAUUGCACCAACUGUAUAUGAAAAUAUUCUUUUCAAAAAAAGAAGAA
RNAcentral lists this long non-coding RNA (204 nucleotides) under Elaeis guineensis (African oil palm). RNAcentral's name for it is "long non-coding RNA (EGUI_LNC080640)". Lineage: Eukaryota; Viridiplantae; Streptophyta; Magnoliopsida; Arecales; Arecaceae. The record is from RNAcentral.